Molecule: ribosomal RNA, 478 nt
Filed under: uncultured bacterium
Lineage: Bacteria
Description: partial 16S ribosomal RNA
Rfam family: Bacterial small subunit ribosomal RNA
Source: RNAcentral
GAUGAACGCUGACAGAAUGCUUAACACAUGCAAGUCUACCAAGAAUCACUUCGGUGAGGAAUGGUGGCGGACGGGUGAGUAACGCGUAAAUAAUCUGCCCUUUAGACUGGGAUAUCCUUUGGAAACGAAGGUUAAUACCGGAUAUUAUGAGAUGGACGCAUGUUACACUUAUGAAAGCUAACUGCACUAGAGGAGGAGUUUGCGUCCCAUUAGCUAGUUGGUGAGGUAAAGGCUAACCAAGGCCACGAUGGGUAGCCGGCCUGAGAGGGUGAACGGCCAGAAGGGAACUGAGACACGGUCCUUACUCCUACGGGAGGCAGCAGUGGGGAAUAUUGGACAAUGGACCAAAAGUCUGAUCCAGCAAUUCUGUGUGCACGAUGAAGGUCUUCGGAUUGUAAAGUGCUUUCAGUAGGGAAGAAAAAAAUGACGGUACCUACAGAAGAAGCGACGGCUAAAUAUGUGCCAGCAGCCGCCGCAG